Bos taurus (domestic cattle) is the source of this 2532-nucleotide long non-coding RNA. Lineage: Eukaryota; Metazoa; Chordata; Mammalia; Artiodactyla; Bovidae. The record is from Ensembl.
UCAUAGACCUGGAGAGGGCUUCCCUAGUGGCUCAAACGGUUGAGAAUCCGCCUGCAAUGCAGGAGACCUGGGUUCGAUCCUGGGGUCAAGAAGAUCCCCUGGAGAAGGGCAUGACAACCCAUUCCAGUGUUCUUGCCUGGAGAAUCCCAUGGACAGAGGAGCCUGGCGGGCUACAGUCCAUAGGAUUGCAAAGAAUCAGACACGACUGAAGCAACUUAGCAUGCAUACAUGCAUGGACUUGGAAAGGAUCAUGCUUAGUGAAAUAAGCUAGAUAAAAAGAAGACAAAUUCUGUAUGUUUUCACUGAAACAUGGAAUCCAAAAAAUUAGAUACUUCCCUGGUGGUCCAGUGGUUAAGGUUCCAUACUUCCACUGCAGGGGGUAUAAGUUGGAUCCCUGGCUGGGUGGGGAACUAAGAUCCCAUAUGCCAUAUUAUGUGAUAGAAAACAAAAUACAAUUCAAAAAACAAAACAAUGAAUUUUUAAAAAAGAAGCCCCUGGUGCUGUGUAAAGUUCAUACUCCUGGUCCCACUGCUGAGUACUCCAUGAAGCACCAGGUGAACUGUGCUUCCAAUAAGAGCCUCAGUGAUUCUCAAGCUCGGAGAAGUAGGGAAACCCUGGUUUAAGGCGGGUCACAGCUGAGAAAGAAUGAACUUUCCCUCACCUUGACCAAACCGUCAACAGGUGAAGCUAAAUGGAAACCACCACCAUCAACAAGCAGGGGAAAAAACCUAUGCGAUUUCCUAGUGUUUUCCACAAGUACAUGACCCUUAACCACCAUAUAGCAAGGGUUUGUCACCAGGAUCUCCCUUAAAGAGCUUUCUCAGCACCCCCAGGAUCUUAUAUCAUUGGAUGAAUUGGGAGAAAACUGAGCUAAUGAGUGAAAUGGCCCUCCACAGAGUCCAUGUUGUUAUCCAAUCAACAUCUGUCUCCUAUAAAAGAAACUCAAAGAGCCGUGUUGGAUGUCUCAUCUUGAAAGGAGUUUGACGUUUCUACUUGUUCAAGAGCUGCAUUGCAAGCCAGACAAGAUUCAUUAUGAUCUCAUCACCUCGAGUUUAUGCUUUCCCUCUGGAUCGCAAGACGUUACUCCUGGUAAUCACAAUAAUUAUUACUGCCAUCGUUUUUCUCAUCAUUACUGGAGUGCUCAUUUUUUAUGAAGUCUGCCGAAAGCUGGAGGAAUUUAUCCCUCCCCAAGUGGAAGAAUCAUGGAGGUAUAGAAUCGAACACAUUGAAAUUUAAGCUUCAGCAACAGAUUCCAAUCGUCAGCACCUGACUAUCAUCUUAUCUGAAAUCUGAACCUCCUUGGGACUUUGAACCUUUUUAGUCGUUUGAGCAUUUUAAAAGGAAUAAACGUUGACUUUUUAAAAGGUUAUGAUUUUGGAAAGUUCUUGUUCCCUAUUGCCUCUGUGAAAUCUCUUCCUGGGGAAAGCCCUUUUUUCCCCUCAAAUAUGUGACAGACAAAUAUACCAGUGUUCUCCCACCUGUUUUUAUUUAUUUUUGGCUGUACUGGGUCUUCGAUGGUUUGUGUGGGCUUUCUAUAGUUGCGGGGAGCAGGGGCUACUCUUCGCUGUAGUGCAUGGGUGUCUCACUGCGGUGGGGUCUCUUGCUGCGGAGCGCGGGCUCCAGGGUGCUUGGGCUUCAGUAUUUGCAGCUCUCAAGCUCAGUUGCUCUGUCGCAUGUGGGAUCUUCCCUGAGCAGGGACUGAACCUGUGUCCCCUACAUUGGGAGGCAGAUUACUAUCCUCUGCACCACCAGGGAAGUCCUUCCUCCAAGAAAUUUUUGCUUGUACCAACUUCUUGCUCUCUUCGUCCCAUCACUUACAACCUACCUCUUACUCUGGCUUUUCAUAUCAGCUCCUGCUAAUUUUAUCAUGUACGGAGGUGACCCACUGAAGACUCCAGGUUCCCAACUCAUGACUCCUCACUUGCAAUGUCCCAGUCUUAUCUCCGCUAUUGAAGUGGAGCAGGACCCUAUGGCCCUUGCCCUGCAUGUCCUCAGCCUGCCUUUUGUGUGUGAAAAAAACUUGAGCCAAAGAAUAACUUUAAUCAGAGGGAGAAAAGGCGGAAGCUAAGAACAGCAGUCAAAUAGGACAAAACAAUAGUCAGUAAGCAAAGUCAAGGACCUUUAGAUCCUUCUCAAGGAUUAUAGAUAAUAUUCUGAGCCAUAUCCUGUGGGCUGUGUUGUAGAGACCAAACCCCUCACCAGGUGGAAGAAAUUAAUGACAUGAUUAUCGGACUGUAGCCAAGACAUAAGCUGCCACAAUUCCAAGAAUUUUCCCCAAAGAAAUGAAAACAAAUCAACCCUGGAACACACACACAAUGUCACAUGACCUUAUUUUACUGUUCCUAAAACUGACAUCAAAACCAUUUUCAAAAAUGGUUUUGUGCACUUAAAAACUUAAGAGAGUAGAUCUCAUGUUGUAUUCUUACAAAAAAAAAAAGCCAAGAAGCACAAUAAAUGGUUUGGAGGUGAAGGAUAUAUUUAUUACCUUGAUUUUGAUCAUGAUACCAUAGGUAUAGGUAUAUGUCCAAACAC